UUGUGCCCUUGAGGCGUGGCUUCCGGAGCUAACGCGUUAAGUCGACCGCCUGGGGAGUACGGCCGCAAGGUUAAAACUCAAAUGAAUUGACGGGGGCCCGCACAAGCGGUGGAGCAUGUGGUUUAAUUCGAUGCAACGCGAAGAACCUUACCUGGUCUUGACAUCCACAGAACUUUCCAGAGAUGGAUUGGUGCCUUCGGGAACUGUGAGACAGGUGCUGCAUGGCUGUCGUCAGCUCGUGUUGUGAAAUGUUGGGUUAAGUCCCGCAACGAGCGCAACCCUUAUCCUUUGUUGCCAGCGGUCCGGCCGGGAACUCAAAGGAGACUGCCAGUGAUAAACUGGAGGAAGGUGGGGAUGACGUCAAGUCAUCAUGGCCCUUACGACCAGGGCUACACACGUGCUACAAUGGCGCAUACAAAGAGAAGCGACCUCGCGAGAGCAAGCGGACCUCAUAAAGUGCGUCGUAGUCCGGAUUGGAGUCUGCAACUCGACUCCAUGAAGUCGGAAUCGCUAGUAAUCGUGGAUCAGAAUGCCACGGUGAAUACGUUCCCGGGCCUUGUACACACCGCCCGUCACACCAUGGGAGUGGGUUGCAAAAGAAGUAGGUAGCUUAACCUUCGGGAGGGCGCUUACCACUUUGUGAUUCAUGACUGGGGUGAAGUCGUAACAAGGUAACCGUAGGGGAACCUGCGGUUG
Molecule: ribosomal RNA, 696 nt
Filed under: Escherichia coli
Lineage: Bacteria; Pseudomonadati; Pseudomonadota; Gammaproteobacteria; Enterobacterales; Enterobacteriaceae
Description: bacterial SSU rRNA
Rfam family: Bacterial small subunit ribosomal RNA
Source: RNAcentral